RNAcentral lists this ribosomal RNA (1422 nucleotides) under Triticum aestivum (bread wheat). RNAcentral describes it as "partial small subunit ribosomal RNA". Lineage: Eukaryota; Viridiplantae; Streptophyta; Magnoliopsida; Poales; Poaceae. The record is from RNAcentral.
AUGGAGGGGCUCAUCAAGGGUUUGGCCAAAGCGGCGAUCGACGCCUUGGACGGCGGCGAUGACCAGCGGGAGCGGGGCGAAGACCGCGACGAGGCGCCGAGGAGGCACCGCCCCGCGCGGGACGCCGAGGCGGAGGAGGAUGAGGAGGGCUGCGAGCAGCGGGACCGCUCGACGUGGGCCGAGGUGGUCUCCGAGAAGAAGGGCAGCGAGCCGGAGGAGAAGCGCCGGGGUCCUCGGCCCUCCAGGCGGGAGGAGAGGAGGGAGGACGAGGGCUGGGAGAGGACGGAGGGCCGGAAGCAGCAGCAGCAUCAUCCAUCUGCGCAUGGUGGAUCUCACAGCCAGUACCAGGGAGAGGGCAGGAUUAGUGAUGGUGGUAGCAGGCUACCGCACCAGCAGGCGCCAGCACACAGGAGGCAACAGCAGGAGGGAGAAGAAACAAAUGAUGAAGGUUGGGAAACUGUAGGGGAGAAAAAGCACCAUGGAAGACCACAACAGUGUGAAGCAUGGAACGCAUACAAAAGGCCACCAUCUGAACAAGAGUACUCUGAAGAUUUUGGUCAGAUCCACCAUGGCUUAAAUGUAGAGCCUACCAGGGAGGAGCUCAAUAGCUUGACGGAAGCAUGUAGCCGGUUGUGGGAGCUUGAUAUGAACCGUCUUGUUCCUGGUAAGGACUACAGAAUUGAAUGUGGAGAGGGAAAGAAGGUUUAUCAGAAGGAUGAUAUGUCAUCUGAAAACCUAUUCAGCUGGCUAGGCGAUGAUGUGCUCACCAAGCCCACCUACUCUCGCUUCUGCGCGCUUCUUGACAAUUACAACCCACACCAAGGGUACAAAGAAGUUGUUACUCAGCAGGACAAGCACGAAGAAGCAGCAUUUAUUGAAGAGAUUGCCCGGACAGCGUCGAUUAAGUACUUGCACCGGUAUUUAGUGCUGAAGGGAGUCGUAUCCCAAGACUAUGAUGAUUUCAAGGCAAUGCUGACAUCCCUUUGGUUUAAUUUGUAUGGAAGAUGUGGCAACUCUAGCUGCUCUUCUGCAUUUGAGCAUGUGUUUGUUGGUGAGAUAAAGGAACAGAGACAAGGAGAGACCGAGGUCUCAGGAUUCCAUAACUGGAUUCAGUUUUAUCUGGAAGAAGCCAAGGGAAAUGUGGACUACCAAGGUUACAUAUUCCCAAGACGGCGUGGGGAAUCACCUGAUUCGGAGACACAGUUACUGACCGUUCAGUUUGAGUGGCAUGGUGUGCUGAAAUCAGUAUCAAGCUCUUUGAUUGGUGUUAGCCCCGAGUUCGAGCUGGCACUCUACACACUGUGCUUCUUUAUGGGAGGGGAGGAUAACCGCGUCGAUAUCGGCCCGUACACCGUGAACGUCAAGUGCUAUCGUAUGGGUAACAACAAGAUUGGAUCAGUCUUUCCCAUUGCUGAGAACUGA